RNAcentral lists this long non-coding RNA (282 nucleotides) under Eutrema salsugineum. RNAcentral describes it as "long non-coding RNA (ESAL_LNC000391)". Lineage: Eukaryota; Viridiplantae; Streptophyta; Magnoliopsida; Brassicales; Brassicaceae. The record is from RNAcentral.
UUGCUCUUUGUCGAAAGUUGAUAGGAACAUGCAACUAAACAGCUUGCGUUGGUUGGCCGACGGAGACGGUGUUUGUGCGGACGCUUUGCUGCGAUAUAAAGUCUUACAUGACUCAUCAAUUUGUAACACAUAUAUGGACACAUACAACAUUCAGUACCUUCUUCUUCAAAAAAGAUAUGGAGAAUUUGCGCAAGAAGUUUGCAGCGUUUGAUAAAACUCUACGAAGAUUAAGGUAUUGAUGAUGCCAUUUUUGGGAAGUGGAGAAAUCAGUACAAAUAUGAG